This 616-nucleotide ribosomal RNA is filed under the name Austruca albimana. RNAcentral describes it as "partial 16S rRNA". Lineage: Eukaryota; Metazoa; Arthropoda; Malacostraca; Decapoda; Ocypodidae. The record is from RNAcentral.
UACAUCAUUAAGACUAAUUAUUCGAGCAGAACUUAGACAACCAGGAAGACUUAUUGGAAACGAUCAGAUUUAUAAUGUUGUAGUUACAGCCCACGCUUUUGUAAUAAUUUUCUUCAUAGUUAUACCUAUCAUAAUUGGAGGAUUUGGUAAUUGACUUGUCCCGCUUAUACUAGGAGCACCAGAUAUAGCUUUCCCUCGUAUAAAUAAUAUAAGAUUUUGACUUCUUCCCCCAUCACUCUCUCUUCUCCUUACUAGAAGAAUGGUAGAAAGUGGGGUGGGUACAGGAUGAACCGUUUAUCCCCCCUUAGCGGCAGCUAUUGCCCAUGCAGGAGCCUCAGUAGAUUUAGGUAUUUUCUCUCUUCACUUAGCUGGUGUUUCAUCUAUUCUAGGAGCAGUGAACUUUAUAACAACAGUGAUUAAUAUACGAUCUCAUGGGAUAACAAUAGACCAAAUACCUCUAUUUGUGUGAGCAGUAUUUAUUACUGCUAUUCUACUUCUACUUUCCCUUCCAGUUUUAGCCGGAGCCAUCACUAUGCUAUUAACUGAUCGUAACUUAAAUACAUCUUUCUUUGACCCAGCAGGGGGAGGAGAUCCUGUUCUAUACCAACAUCUUUUC